UCAUGAUAAAUGAAAAAAAAAUUAUAUUAUUGUAUCCAAAUCUAAUUAAUAAAUAAAAAAAUAUUAAAUAAAAUGAACAGCCACUCAUACUUACACACAGAAACAUUGAUGAAUUUCCAACCACCUACCUGGCCGACACAAUAUUAUACUACUAUUUCAGUGAACACCAUAACUGCUUAGAGAGGCCUCAAGCACCCUUUCCCCUCAUUUCCGGGCUUCUGCCUGAAGCUCUCCUAUGCUCUGCUCUCCAUGGCUCAAUUAAUUGGAAGCUUCCUGUGCAGGUUAGGUAUUCAUGCUCUUCACAUCUUGUACAUGUAUGGAAUCUAUCCUCGUUGUUAGUACGGUAUUGUGCUUAAAGCCUUAAACCUAAUCCUAUUCGCUCUUUUUGACAAUUACCUUAGCUACUGGAUUAAGUCAUUGCUAAUUUGCUUGCUACUAAUUCAAUUUCUAUUUUUAAUUUGCUUGAGAGAAUGAUUGGAAAUUUGGAAUGGAAUAUUAGGUUCAUUUCAUUGCGUAGUACGGGUUAUAUACAAAUAAAACAUAAAAAAGGACACAGGAAAAGCUAUACAAAUUGCUGAAGUUGAGGGUGCUAAAUAAUAAAAUUGAGGUGAUGGCGGUGAAAGUGGAGAUGAAGAGUAUGAACAAGUACUUGUGGUUGAUGAUAGCACUCAAGCUAUCCAUGACUUUGAGGAAAGCAAAACAGAGGAACUUAACUUUAUAAGUUUAUAUUAAAUGGUCGGUAAACAUUUAGAGACUAGCUAGGGUAGAUAUUAUUUUUUUGCUUCAAUAGAUAUGAUUUUUACUUAGCAGUGGGGGCUUAUGGUGGUGUAUGUUCACUCUUUGAAUUUUCCAUUUCGGUAUUAAUUAGUAGACGGAUAUGGAUUUGAUUUCGUUUCUUCAAGAAGAUAUUGAACUUAACUAUGUAAUUACUUCAGAAUUUUUAAGCAUUUGCUGUACAUGCUCAGUGUAUACUUUGAUAUUUAAGAAUUUGAUCAUAUACAUCAGUAUGACUUUCUUUUUA
Arachis ipaensis is the source of this 1021-nucleotide long non-coding RNA. RefSeq lists it as uncharacterized. The record is from RefSeq and is a predicted model, not a curated record. NCBI's taxonomy places the organism in Eukaryota, Viridiplantae, Streptophyta, Magnoliopsida, Fabales, Fabaceae.